UACUAGAGUAGCACUCGCAUAUCAAUAAGCGGAGGGAAAGAAACUAACAAGGAUUCCCCUAGUAACGGCGAGUGAAGCGGGAAGAGCUCAAAUUUGAAAUCUUAAAGGGUUUCCCUUUACGAAUUGUAGUUUAAAGAAGUGUUUUCUGUUGAGGUUUUGGUAAAAGUUCUUUGGAAUAGGACAUCAUAGAGGGUGAGAAUCCCGUAUUUGACCUUUACUUUCAACUUUGUGAUACAGCUUUCAAAGAGUCGGGAUUGUUUGGGAAUGCAGGUCCAAAAUGGGUGGUAAAUUUCAUCUAAAGCUAAAUAUUGGCGAGAGACCGAUAGCGAACAAGUACCGUGAGGGAAAGAUGAAAAGAACUUUGAAAAGAGAGUUAAACAGUACGUGAAAUUGUCAAAAGGGAAGCGUUUGACACCAGUGUUGUUUUUCUGAAAAUCAAGUUAAAGAACUGUUUAUGCUAAGUUGUUUAGACUUUAUCAGCUAACUGUUUAGUUUUGAGCUUUUCUUUAAUGCACUUUUCAGUUAACAAGUCAACAUCAAUUUCUUUUGCUGUAAAAAAGCUUGAGGAAGGUGGCUUGAGAUUCGUCUUAAGUGUUUAUAGCCUCUUGCCUAUGCAGUCGGAGAGAUUGAGGUCUGCAGCGUAGAUCCUUCGGGGCUAAAUGCAUUUGUGCUAAGUUAUAGCAUUUUAUAGACAACUUGUUGACUAUGAUUUGUCUUGUAGCUUACUCGCUUAUGUUAUUUUACCUACGCUUAGGAUGUUGAGCGCAUGUCUCUCUCU
Molecule: ribosomal RNA, 778 nt
Filed under: uncultured Neocallimastigales
Lineage: Eukaryota; Fungi; Neocallimastigomycota; Neocallimastigomycetes; Neocallimastigales
Description: partial large subunit ribosomal RNA
Rfam family: Eukaryotic large subunit ribosomal RNA
Source: RNAcentral